Molecule: transfer RNA, 73 nt
Filed under: Chionodraco hamatus (Antarctic icefish)
Lineage: Eukaryota; Metazoa; Chordata; Actinopteri; Perciformes; Channichthyidae
Also listed under: 1 other name
Description: tRNA-Asn
Rfam family: tRNA
About the family: Transfer RNA (tRNA) molecules are approximately 80 nucleotides in length.
Source: RNAcentral
UAGACGGAUGCUCGCUGGUUAGGGCGUUUAGCUGUUAACUAAAAGUUCGUAGGAUCGAAGCCUACUCGUCUAG